This 662-nucleotide long non-coding RNA is filed under the name Vitis vinifera (wine grape). RNAcentral's name for it is "long non-coding RNA (VVIN_LNC007474)". Lineage: Eukaryota; Viridiplantae; Streptophyta; Magnoliopsida; Vitales; Vitaceae. The record is from RNAcentral.
AGCUCCAUUCGGGAAAAAUCUCUCUCUCUAAACUGAUAGUUCCUGCUGAGUGGUAGAAAGGGAAAUUAGGUUUUUGAUUUUGAGAAGCAAUCUUCUGGGUUUUGACAUUUAAGGCAUAAACUACUCAUUGAAACGCAUUUGUUUUCGAUUAUCUGGUCUUAGCCACAUCUUAAUUAUUCGCAAAUUUCUAGCCCCAAAUUUCAUUUUGUUCUUAUUCGAAUCGAUAUCUGAGUAAGAGUAUGUCCGUGUUAUUAACCCAUCUUUCUUAGUGGUUGUGGAGUGGAAAACACCAAGAGCCCAAAAGACUCUCCAAUGGAUCUUCUUUAAAUUCUUUUCAACAUUCAGGUUUGUGGGAGUCGGAUGCUUUGAAAUUCCCUUUAGUUAAGGGGCUUCUUCGUUGACAUUUCAAUUUUUUUUUUCUCCUAGAACCUCUUGAUUCUUUGAAUCUCAAAGUCUCCCAAUCUCCCGAACCUCGAUCCACGCAGAUCUUCGAUUUCUGCUAUUGGUUUUUUUUUUUUGUCUUCGUUGAAUGUUCAACCUAGGGUUUUGAUUUUGUCUAUUCCAGUUAUUGCUUCGAUCUCUUGGAUCUCGGUUCUGAAUUUACCCAGGGUUUGAUCGUUUGAUUGUUGGAUUGUUUGGUUGAUCUCAUGGAGGCGAUCGAC